RNAcentral lists this ribosomal RNA (402 nucleotides) under uncultured bacterium. RNAcentral describes it as "bacterial SSU rRNA". It matches the Rfam family "Bacterial small subunit ribosomal RNA", at positions 355 to 774 of the family's 1533-position model. The record is from RNAcentral.
UGGGGAAUAUUGGACAAUGGGCGAAAGCCUGAUCCAGCCAUGCCGCGUGGGUGAUGAAGGCCUUAGGGUUGUAAAGCCCUUUCGGCGGGGAAGAUAAUGACGGUACCCGCAGAAGAAGCCCCGGCAAACUUCGUGCCAGCAGCCGCGGUAAUACGAAGGGGGCUAGCGUUGCUCGGAAUCACUGGGCGUAAAGCGCACGUAGGCGGAUCGUUAAGUCGGGGGUGAAAUCCUGGAGCUCAACUCCAGAACUGCCUUCGAUACUGGCGACCUUGAGUCCGGGAGAGNUGAGUGGAACUCCGAGUGUAGAGGUGAAAUUCGUAGAUAUUCGGAAGAACACCAGUGGCGAAGGCGGCUCACUGGCCCGGAACUGACGCUGAGGUGCGAAAGCGUGGGGAGCAGACA